This is a long non-coding RNA of Brienomyrus brachyistius, 5872 nucleotides long. RefSeq lists it as uncharacterized. NCBI's taxonomy places the organism in Eukaryota, Metazoa, Chordata, Actinopteri, Osteoglossiformes, Mormyridae. The transcript has 8 exons. The record is from RefSeq and is a predicted model, not a curated record.
UCCCACAAUUCUUUGCGUCCAUGCGUCAGGUAAGCCCCUGGUGUCCAUUGCUGUUCCGUACUAAGAAUGGCUCAGUUUAGCAGAGGAUUCCCUUUGCGUGAGACGACCAAAAUGAGAAGUUGCUGAGGGCAUGAGAAAGGUUUGCGGGACCGUGAGCGUAUCUAGUCACUGAUAAACCACGCUUCAUCACAGGACGCAACUACUCCGGGAUCAUCAUUGCAAGUGGAUUGAAAAGUAAGAUUUUAACUAGCACUUUGGAUUUUAAUCGAAGUGGUCGAACAACCUUUUCAUUUUAAGCUCCACAAAACGUAUGGAUGUAUUUUUGCCAAUGUAUUGCAGCUUCCGUUCACAACUUUAUAUUUUACCGCAUUUGGCACUUUUACCUUUGUUAGGUAUUGCCGUUUUGCGCACGUGGAGCGGUCUUUUGUAUGGAUGAUACCUAAGUGGUGAGAUAGCGGCUCUCAUUCGUUUGGGGGCAUAUAUUAUGGGACAUCAUGAAUAAUCACCUAGUAGCUGCCGUCAAGAAGAUUGGUUCCCAGCUUGGAUUCCUUGCUGACAAAUUGCCACAUGGGCGUAUAAUUCCGAAUAUGUCCGAUGUUAUUACUGACGCCCAGUUCAUCAGAGUAUGUGGUGGACUUUAUUAACAGAUAUAUCUAGGACUGCCCGUUUCUCUGGAUUUUUACAUAUAUGGUUCUGCUUUCAAUACCCAUUUGUCCGUUGUAUUGGGAACGAAGCCUCAUUGUUUGGAUUAUGUAAACGGAUACAUCUAUGGGAUUCAUCAGUUUUAAGCGAUAAUGGAAUACAAGACGUACGUAUCUUGGAUUAAUAGAAGAUGCUGUGCACUGUUUGACAGGUGCCAGGAGCCACUGCAGGAACGGCAGCCCAAUACUGGUCAGGUUCAGUCCAAGCAGAAGCAACAAUCCCAUUUGAAGAAUGGCUGUUUCAAUACGCCUUCAUCAUAUAGUCACUAGAGGGCAGCACAUCCAUCCAUAGACACACAGGACCGGGAAGGCAAACAGGUUGCUCAACUUAGCAGUUCAGUUUGUGUAUAUUGGCUCAGUUUGGUAUGGCCCCCACCCGUUCCUGCGGGUGGGAAUAAUUGUGUUCCCGUUUUAAUAUAGUACAUGAAAGGUGACGGCUAUUUAAGCUGCAGAGGAGUGGCCACAGACACAUUCCUCUGGAGAAAUGGCAGUUAGCAAGGGGAGCAUGCGAUCUGGGGUGAGGACAUCACCCCCCAGGGGCCUUGGAGGGACAUGGAUACCAUGGCAGAUUCGGGGGGGGGGGGGGGGCAGCACUUGACAGGGGCCCUAGAAUAUGUAAAAUUGUGCUGUAUGGCAAGGUAACAUUUUGUAAUGGGGCCCCUGAACUUCUUGUUACACCUUUGAUCACCAUCCCUGCCAUCCUGCACUAGUGCAGCAGAUGGAAAGAACACAGCACUUGUCCCUCAGAUGUAAUGACAGGUCAGAUACCUAGGAGAUAAGUGUGGAAUAAGGCAGCGUUUCCCAACCCGGUCUUCAGGGAUCCACAGAUAGUCCACAUCUUUGCUCCCUCCCAGCUCCCGAGCUUUCAGUGAGUGACCAGCGACAAAGUCAUCAUUGGAACAAGAGCCAUAAAGCCAUCAUCAUUAGACACAGCAUCCAGUGUUACAGAGUAUCGGCACCUCUCAAUAUCUGCUGGUACUGAAUACCAAGGGGAGUACCCGCACCUGGUACUGAAUACCAAGGGGAGUACCCGCACCUGGUACUGAAUACCAAGGGGAGUACCCGCACCUGGUACUGAAUACCAAGGGGAGUACCCGCACCUGGUACUGAAUACCAAGGGGAGUACCCGCACCUGGUACUGAAUACCAAGGGGAGUACCCGCACCUGGUUUUUAAUCCUCACUUUAAGCACUGAUGGGAUGCACUGGAAAGCUUAAGUAUCUAGAAAUAUUUUAUAGGCCUAUAGACCAUAAAAGCUUAGAUUUAAAUGUGCCCUUCAGAGGUAAAGUGGGUUAUCCCACAAAAACAAAGUUUUGAGAAAAUGAGCUUCAAAGUUUAAAUUAAAAAAAAAAAUCAGUGUGCCUAUACCCUACAGUUGAUAUAUAUCAUAGGUAGCACAGAUCUUGGUAUAUUUAAAAGAUAGAUAGACCCUGAAUAAUUCAUAAUGGAUACUAAACUCAUUUUUGACUGACAUGUGGGAUAGCCCACUUUACCUCUCAAGGGCACAAAUGUACUGUAGCUUGGCUAGCAUAUUUUUUAUGCAACGUAUUACCGUGGUGCUUUUUCAUUAUGAGACAGCUAGCUGGGAUGGCGCUUUUCGCGAAAGAGGCAAUUAGUUAAAAGGUAGUGUUAGCUCAUAUACACAUGCCCACAACUCCCACCAGGUGGCAGUAUUGCUCCAUGAAUAUAUUUGCUUGGAAUCGCGACAACAGCUAACAGCCCUAAUCCAGACAAGGAGUACAAUUAUUUCCUUAUUGCUCCUGUCCCUCUAACCUAUAUAUUUAUGUACAUGUAUUUGUAAAUCAAAGCAGAGCCGCCCUUCUGUCGGCGACAAGUCAGAUAAACUUACAGUGAACUGUAAUAAAACUCGUCAAAACCACAAUUCAAACGUGUCUGAGAAGGUGGUGGCUCUUUCUCUUUUGUUUGUUCUUCCUGGAAUUUGGGUGUAUCCUUGUUUUGCACUAGUUUUUUUAGUUUUUCUGAUCAAAUGCUAGCUAGGGGAAAGCUUUCUCAGGUGAAAGAUAAGGCAACGAUUGUCAGUUAAAGAAAAGGACAGACGAGUCUAGGUACUUUUCUCAACUGACCAAACACUCUUGGAGAGUUUUCAUGCCAACUCUGUGGGUCUUUUUAAACUUGGGUUUUUGUUGCCAACAAGAAAAAAAGGACAAAGCAGAAUGUGGGCCGCCACCUGUUGAUCUCUGCUCACUGCAGGUGCUGUGAUUGGCUGGACAAGGGCUGACCGUGAUUGGUUGACAGUUAUAGCCUGGAUAUAAAUGGAGAGUAGGCCACACCCACCCAGGUGUGUUUCCUCGUGCUGAGACGGGGCAGCUCACCAGGUGCUUUUCAGAGCUGAGGACAAAGGCAUUGAGGGAGGCAGUGCCCCCACUGCACAGAGAGCGCCAUCUUUAUGCUCCUGCAGGAAAAGCAGCACACCUGAAUCGGCCACCAUUUUGGUGCCACUGUAGUAUUUCAGGGCUGAACCGUGGGUACAGCGAUCAAGAGGGGUGUGGAGUUCAACCAUCAGAUCGGGGUUCGGGGGGGCGAUGGCGUAAUUGGCAUGCCUCCCAGCGCCGGUGGCUCCCUGUACUCCUCCUGAGCACUCCCCGUGGGUGGAGGAGGAUCGGCUUGUUUACAGAACUGGCCUCCAGCAGAGGCUGAUCGGUGGAGAACGUCUACAAGCCACCUUAUCCUGCCCAGUCUACCGUGUCACUGUUACAAAUCCCAGCAUGCUGUGCCUGCUGCAUGGGCUCCUUUGUGAUCUCUGCAGUGUAUGUCAAUUAAAAGCACGGUUGCUCUCUGCUUAGACAAUGACUGCAUGCACUGUAUAAGUUUGUGCCUCCCUCACGUUCGAUGCCAGAUUUCGGAUUUUCCUGCUUGUCCUUUGCGCUUUGGCGUGAUACUCCCGUUUCAUGAGCCCGCUGAAAGGACCAUGGUCACUUUAUCACCUCCAGAUGGUACCCCCACCCUAUCUGCUGCCUUAUCGACCCACCCUUGGCCCCUCCCCCCCCGCCCUUGUCGUAUCUGUAAUGAAUCACCUUAUCAGUGCUGCUGUCUCUCACCAUCCUUUUUCCAUUCUUCUUUCACCCAGCUAAUUGUUUAGUUUUGUCCCAUGUCUUUGGCCCUCCAUUCUGCCUAAUCCGCAAGUCGGCCUCCUCAAAUGGGAGUCUGAGCUGGCUAGGACCAAACGCUGUCAAGUUAUGAGGGUGAAGUCGUUCCAUUUCACGUUCCCAGCUGCUUGGGAUCAAGCUUUUCAUCCGAAGCAACUCGCAGAGCUUAUAAUGAUUCUCUCUGGCCAUUUUCCAUAUGGGAUUUUGGGCUACCCCCCACACCCCACUGUGGUGACUCAGUGCUGCAUCGUAAGAAAGCCACCUGGACGCAGGUCUGUGCGGUGGAGUUAAGAAUGCACUGUGAGAUGGAGACACCUCGGCAUUUCCUCUGCUGCCGCCUGACAGUUACAAGCCAAGGAGGUGUGUGAUUGGACACUUAAAGUCAGCCUCCAGCCAUGACCAAACAAAGUCGACCCUGCAGGCAGCGCCUUGCAACCCACCAGUCCGGAAAACCCGUUUUCCUGGCAGGGAAUGCUGGCCAUCCCGAGACCCGGAAUACCACCAUCCAACUGCUCUUCAGGCUCUUGGAAGGCAUCCGUCUUCAUGUAUUGCUUUGGAUCUCCUGAAAGUCCAGCCGGCUGGCAUGGAGGGCGAUGCGCUCGAUGUGGCGAAGGGGGCAAGACGCCCAGCAAAACCAAUGUCGCCACCCCUCGGAGCUGCGAUUGGCUUUUAGGGAAAAGGCCUUGAUUGGCAGUGGCGAGAGGUGGGCCGUGGAGGGGACGAGCCCAGCAGACGAGGAGUCGCGGCGAUGAAGAGACAAGCGUGGGCCCUCAGGGGGCCGGGGGGCAGGUUGGGGCCUGAGAUGGCAAGCUGCAAGUGGGCGGGGCAGCAGGGGAAUGAGACGCCUGGCAGGUACCGCACGUCUGCUCUCCGAAGAACAGCGGACAGAUCUCCCCGACACGUCCUUCCUCCGCCCGGGGGCAGCCGCCAUCACAUCUUUCGCCGGCGGGGGCGACGUCACGCCCUGUUCCCAAGCCCGAGAGAGAGCCACCUGGAGUUACUGGUGCUGGCGGUAAACAGACCACCUGCGCUGACUCACCCCCCCCACCUCGAUGCCCAAACUCGGGCACAGCGCAGCGCUCCGUGGAAGACGAGGAGUGUGGGAGCGAAGCCCCAUCGGCACUGGGGAGUAACCUGACACGGCGAGUGCUGCCACGGUGUCCCGGUACUGCAGCCCUCAUUCCCAGACAAUAAACUGGCAAGUCCCAGAGCCACCGUGACCUUCAGCCUUCCCCAGCGACAGCGCGAGCCACAGGCCCAAGCCAGUCAGACUUGAGCUAAAAAUGACUCUGCUGCCUUUGUGAUGUGCAUGUAUAUAUAUUUUUCCUGAUUUGUCUGACAUUUCAGAGAAAGCGGUAGAGCUUUAUGGAGUCUUGAUGGUUUUGUCAGAUACCGGAGAUGACGACCUUAAAUGCCGGACCUCUUUUACUAAAUCAGGCAGGAGGCCUGGGCCUUGCUCCAGGAUGGGAGGAAGCGGGCUCGGUACCAGAAUCCAGAGUCCAGUACCAUAAAUUGUAGGGUCCGGUAGGACCUAAUUUUCAUGAGCCAUCAACUUUUUACUGGGUCCCUAUCUUUAAAAUAUACCCCAACAUAUUCAGGGAGUGAAACCGAAUGGAUUAUUUUUGACAAUCUAUGAAUCAAUAUUGUUAGGCAGCCAUUCACGUUGCUUACCUGCCACUCAAUAUCGUAUGGGAUCCCCUGGAAAUUGUAUAAAAUCAGCCUGGCCAAAAUCUUGUAAAGUACAAUCAGGAACCUAUGGACUGUGGAGAUGCAGUUGACUCAGAAGACCAUUUUAGUGUCAUUUUGGUUUUUAUGGGCUCACUGGUAGACGGAGCAGACUUCUUUAGGAGUGAAAGCAUGAUGGACUUCAACAUUUCCAGAUAUGAAGGACUGACACUGGCAAGCUAGGGAAAGUGGGAGUAGUUUUAGACACCCCGUUCUCAGGUGUCCGUGCCUCAGGGCAUAUCCUGUUCCUCUUUCAGGCAGAACCGGUUUUUGCUCUGACUGUUUUAUCCAGCCUGUAAAUGCUACGUUUUUUUGCAUUAAAAAAGUGUGAUACAUCUCC